RNAcentral lists this ribosomal RNA (253 nucleotides) under uncultured bacterium. Its description in RNAcentral is "partial 16S ribosomal RNA". It matches the Rfam family "Bacterial small subunit ribosomal RNA", at positions 524 to 776 of the family's 1533-position model. The record is from RNAcentral.
CACGUAGGGUGCGAGCGUUGUUCGGAAUUACUGGGCGUAAAGGGCUCGUAGGUGGCCAACUAAGUCAGACGUGAAAUCCCUCAGCUUAACUGGGGAACUGCGUCUGAUACUGGAUGGCUUGAGGUUGGGAGAGGGAUGCGGAAUUCCAGGUGUAGCGGUGAAAUGCGUAGAUAUCUGGAGGAACACCGGUGGCGAAGGCGGCAUCCUGGACCAAUUCUGACGCUGAGGAGCGAAAGCUAGGGGAGCAAACGGG